RNAcentral lists this ribosomal RNA (1386 nucleotides) under uncultured bacterium. RNAcentral's name for it is "bacterial SSU rRNA". It matches the Rfam family "Bacterial small subunit ribosomal RNA". The record is from RNAcentral.
AGAGUUUGAUCCUGGCUCAGGAUGAACGCUGGCGGCGUGCCUAACACAUGCAAGUCGAACGGACUUAUAACGAAACCUAGUGAAUUAUGAGUUAGUGGCGGACGGGUGAGUAACGCGUGGAAAACCUGCCGUAUACUGGGGGAUAACACUUAGAAAUAGGUGCUAAUACCGCAUAAGCGCACAGCUUCGCAUGAAGCAGUGCGAAAAACUCCGGUGGUAUACGAUGGUUCCGCGUCUGAUUAGCUAGUUGGUGAGGUAAAAGCCCACCAAGGCAACGAUCAGUAGCCGGCCUGAGAGGGUGAACGGCCACAUUGGGACUGAGACACGGCCCAGACUCCUACGGGAGGCAGCAGUGGGGGAUAUUGCACAAUGGGGGAAACCCUGAUGCAGCGACGCCGCGUGAGUGAAGAAGUAUUUCGGUACGUAAAGCUCUAUCAGCAGGGAAGAAAAAAAGUCCACAGGACUUUGGACGGUACCUGACUAAGAAGCCCCGGCUAACUACGUGCCAGCAGCCGCGGUAAUACGUAGGGGGCAAGCGUUAUCCGGAUUUACUGGGUGUAAAGGGAGCGUAGACGGCUGUGCAAGUCUGAAGUGAAAUGCCGGGGCUCAACCCCGGAACUGCUUUGGAAACUGUACAGCUAGAGUGCAGGAGGGGUGAGCGGAAUUCCUAGUGUAGCGGUGAAAUGCGUAGAUAUUAGGAGGAACACCGGUGGCGAAGGCGGCUCACUGGACUGUAACUGACGUUGAGGCUCGAAAGCGUGGGGAGCAAACAGGAUUAGAUACCCUGGUAGUCCACGCCCUAAACGAUGAGUACUAAGUGUUGGUGAGAAUCAGUGCUGAAGUUAACGCAUUAAGUACUCCGCCUGAGUAGUACGUACGCAAGUAUGAAACUUAAAGGAAUUGACGGGAGCCCGCACAAGCGGUGGAGCAUGUUGUUUAAUUCGACGAUACGCGAAGAACCUUACCAGGUCUUGACAUAGCACGCGAAGGCGUAGAGAUACGUUGGAGGAUAGCGUGCAUACAGGUGGUGCAUGGUUGUCGUCAGCUCGUGUCGUGAGAUGUUGGGUUAAGUCCCGCAACGAGCGCAACCCUUAUUCUUAGUAGCCAGCAGGUAAAGCUGGGCACUCUAGGGAGACUGCCAGGGAUAACCUGGAGGAAGGUGGGGAUGACGUCAAAUCAUCAUGCCCCUUAUGAUUUGGGCUACACACGUGCUACAAUGGCGUAAACAAAGGGAGGCGAAGGAGUGAUCUGGAGCGAACCCCAAAAAUAACGUCUCAGUUCGGAUUGCAGGCUGCAACCCGCCUGCAUGAAGCCGGAAUCGCUAGUAAUCGCAGAUCAGAAUGCUGCGGUGAAUGCGUUCCCGGGUCUUGCACUCACCGCCCGUCA